UGUCACAAAGCCAUCAGUACAGUGCCUGGUACACAGGGAGGACACAGGGCAUGAGGCAUGCGAGAGAGGAGAGAGAGAACACAAGCAAGGGAAAUGGCAGGCAGAGGGAGAGGAAGAGGGAGAAGCAGGCUUCCUGCUGGUGCGGGGCUCCAUCCCAGGACCUUGAGAUCAUGACCUGAGCUGAAACCAAGAAUCAGACACUUAACCAACUGAGCCACCCAGAAGUGGAACUUCUAUUAUUCAAGCUUGAGCGACACUGUCCUGAAAGCUGACGUCUGCAAUGCUGUCCCCAAGAUGCGCUCUCGCCUGGACUUCGCCCCCCUCCCCAUACUCAUCUCUGGCCAUGUGAAGUCAGCAAUUUCAACCAAUUUCAACCAUGUUUCCAGCCUCUAUCCUUUCUCUAACAUUAAAUUCCCUG
RNAcentral lists this long non-coding RNA (418 nucleotides) under Mustela putorius furo (domestic ferret). Its description in RNAcentral is "lncRNA (ENSMPUG00000029885.1)". Lineage: Eukaryota; Metazoa; Chordata; Mammalia; Carnivora; Mustelidae. The record is from RNAcentral.